Molecule: ribosomal RNA, 386 nt
Filed under: Pongo pygmaeus (Bornean orangutan)
Lineage: Eukaryota; Metazoa; Chordata; Mammalia; Primates; Hominidae
Description: partial 16S ribosomal RNA
Rfam family: Bacterial large subunit ribosomal RNA
Source: RNAcentral
CAUAAUCACUUGUUCCUUUAAAUGAAGGACUUGCAUGAAUGGCUCCACGAGGGUUCGACUGUCUCUUACUUUUAACCAGUGAAAUUGACCUGCCCGUGAAGAGGCGGGCAUAACAUAACAAGACGAGAAGACCCUAUGGAGCUUCAAUCUACCAGUGCAAAUAACAUAUAACAAGCCCACAGGCCCUAAUUCACCAAACCUGCACUGAAGAUUUCGGUUGGGGCGACCUCGGAGUAUAACCCAACCUCCGAGAAACACAUGUUAAGACUUCACAAGUCAAAACAAACUUCCACACACAAUUGAUCCAAUAACUUGACCAACGGAACAAGUUACCCUAGGGAUUACAGCGCAAUCCUGUUCUAGAGUCCAUAGCAACGACAGGGUUU